CCCUGCAUUCAAAAGUGACCCUAGGCAGCCUGAGCCCUUGUCAUUGAUAGUGCAGGAGAGACUUGCUGAAAGCGUUUCCCCGUGUUGAGGGUCACCCUGUCCUUCGACCCUGAAGCUUUCGUACA
Molecule: small nucleolar RNA, 125 nt
Filed under: Tupaia belangeri (northern tree shrew)
Lineage: Eukaryota; Metazoa; Chordata; Mammalia; Scandentia; Tupaiidae
Description: Small nucleolar RNA SNORA71 (ENSTBEG00000019209.1)
Rfam family: Small nucleolar RNA SNORA71
About the family: The members of this family belong to the H/ACA class of snoRNAs which bind a number of proteins (including dyskerin, Gar1p and Nop10p) to form snoRNP complexes. This class of snoRNAs are thought to guide the sites of modification of uridines to pseudouridines by forming direct base pairing interactions with substrate RNAs.
Source: RNAcentral